Pelobates cultripes (western spadefoot toad) is the source of this 204-nucleotide non-coding RNA. The record is from the annotation of a GenBank genome assembly. NCBI's taxonomy places the organism in Eukaryota, Metazoa, Chordata, Amphibia, Anura, Pelobatidae.
CAGUAUGGCUGCUAAACCAUGUGACCAAUAUAUUUGUCUUGAAUAAAUUCUGAGUCUAGGUCACAACAUGAACUUGCACAGCAAUUUGUAUAUCUGUAGCACAAAUGGUUAUGGAGAAGACCAUAUAAAAAUAUUGUGUGAAAUCAUUUGCCAAAAUCAAGAUGGCUACCAGUCCAUGUGACCUAUGACCAUGUGAUUGACAAC